ACCAUCAAAGCCCUUGAAGCAAAGUUUCACUUUGGAAGGCCCACGCAGUGAGAAGUUAAUCACCUAUUGCCACAACAGUGCACAGGAACGAGCAGUUACCAAAUCACCAGGGAGCUGCUAUCCAGGGCUGUGAAGGCACACCUUGUUUUGUUCACAGGCCUGCAGCUUCACAAUCCUCCUCUCAACUACCGUGGUGCAGUGAGCACUGAGCCAAAUUUACAAGCCAGGAAGGUUUGACACGAGUGGGAGCAGUCUGGGAAAGCAGCGUGCAAAAUGUGACUCAAGAAGAGGCACAUGGAUUCCUCAAGCUCUCUGUUAAAUAAACAGAAUAUCGAUGUUUGCGGAGGAGUUUCAACAUGAACGUCCAGAUUUUUUUCAAAACAAGCAAAAAGCACAAC
Lepidothrix coronata (blue-crowned manakin) is the source of this 398-nucleotide long non-coding RNA. RefSeq lists it as uncharacterized. The transcript has 3 exons. Lineage: Eukaryota; Metazoa; Chordata; Aves; Passeriformes; Pipridae. The record is from RefSeq and is a predicted model, not a curated record.